AACGAACGCUGGCGGCGUGCUUAACACAUGCAAGUCGAACGAGAACGGGUUAUAGCUUGCUAUAAUUGUCAGCUAAGUGGCGCACGGGUGAGUAAUGUAUAGAUAACCUGCCCUCUAGAAAGGAAUAACAGUUGGAAACGACUGCUAAUGCCCUAUAUGCCUUUAAUACAUAAGUAUGCAAGGGAAACGCUUUAGUGCUAGAGGAUGGGUCUGUAUGGUAUCAGCUUGUUGGUGAGGUAAUGGCUCACCAAGGCUAUGACGCCUAACUGGUUUGAGAGGAUGAUCAGUCACACUGGAACUGAGACACGGUCCAGACUCCUACGGGAGGCAGCAGUGGGGAAUAUUGCACAAUGGACGAGAGUCUGAUGCAGCAACGCCGCGUGGAGGAUGACACAUUUCGGUGCGUAAACUCCUUUUAUAUAGGAAGAUAAUGACGGUACUAUAUGAAUAAGCACCGGCUAACUCCGUGCCAGCCGCCGCCGUAA
Molecule: ribosomal RNA, 485 nt
Filed under: uncultured bacterium
Lineage: Bacteria
Description: partial 16S ribosomal RNA
Rfam family: Bacterial small subunit ribosomal RNA
Source: RNAcentral